Molecule: ribosomal RNA, 659 nt
Filed under: uncultured fungus
Lineage: Eukaryota; Fungi
Description: eukaryotic LSU rRNA
Rfam family: Eukaryotic large subunit ribosomal RNA
Source: RNAcentral
CCCGCUGAACUUAAGCAUAUCAAUAAGCGGAGGAAAAGAAACUAACAAGGAUUCCCCUAGUAACUGCGAGUGAAGCGGGAAAAGCUCAAAUUUAAAAUCUGGCGGUCUUGCGGCCGUCCGAGUUGUAAUCUGGAGAAGCGUUUAUCCGCGUCGGACCGUGUACAAGUCUUCUGGAAGGGAGCGUCGUAGAGGGUGAGAAUCCCGUCUUUGACACGGACAACCGGUGCUUUUGUGAUGCGCUCUCGAAGAGUCGAGUUGUUUGGGAAUGCAGCUCAAAAUGGGUGGUAAAUUCCAUCUAAAGCUAAAUAUUGGCGAGAGACCGAUAGCGAACAAGUACCGUGAGGGAAAGAUGAAAAGCACUUUGGAAAGAGAGUGAAACAGUACGUGAAAUUGCUGAAAGGGAAACGCUUGAAGUCAGUCGCGUUGGCUGGAAAUCAACCUUGCUCUUGCUUGGUGUACUUUCUGGUUGACGGGUCAGCAUCAAUUUUGACCGCUGGAUAAAGUCUUUGGGAAUGUGGCAUCUUAGGAUGUGUUAUAGCCCAUUGUCGUAUACGGUGGUUGGGAUUGAGGAACUCAGCACGCCGCAAGGCCGGGUUUCGACCACGUUCGUGCUUAGGAUGCUGGCAUAAUGGCUUUAAUCGACCCGUCUUGAAACACGG